GGCCGGUUAGCUCAGUUAGUUAGAGCGUGGUGCUAAUAACGCCAAGGUCACGGGUUCAACCCCUGAACGGGCCA
This 74-nucleotide transfer RNA is filed under the name Merluccius polli (Benguela hake). It matches the Rfam family "tRNA". From Rfam's summary of the family: Transfer RNA (tRNA) molecules are approximately 80 nucleotides in length. Their secondary structure includes four short double-helical elements and three loops (D, anti-codon, and T loops). Further hydrogen bonds mediate the characteristic L-shaped molecular structure. tRNAs have two regions of fundamental functional importance: the anti-codon, which is responsible for specific mRNA codon recognition, and the 3' end, to which the tRNAs corresponding amino acid is attached (by aminoacyl-tRNA synthetases). tRNAs cope with the degeneracy of the genetic code in two manners: having more than one tRNA (with a specific anti-codon) for a particular amino acid; and 'wobble' base-pairing, i.e. permitting non-standard base-pairing at the 3rd anti-codon position. Lineage: Eukaryota; Metazoa; Chordata; Actinopteri; Gadiformes; Merlucciidae. The record is from Rfam by way of RNAcentral.